CCACAGCUAGUUAAGCCCACUUGACUCAUCAUUUCUCUGAUGAGGGCUCAGUUGCAGUGACUGCAAAAAGCAGAUUCCCUUGUUGUGUAUACAACUCAUUUCCUUGUUUGUGUUGCUCUAUGGGACCUUGGAGACAUCA
Small nucleolar RNA from Sciurus vulgaris (Eurasian red squirrel), 139 nucleotides. Its record names the gene SNORA70. It matches the Rfam family "Small nucleolar RNA SNORA70". From Rfam's summary of the family: snoRNA U70 seems to be exclusive to mammals and is a member of the H/ACA class of snoRNA which contain H (ANANNA) and ACA box motifs. H/ACA box snoRNAs are involved in the conversion of uridines to pseudouridines (5-ribosyluracil) a constituent of structural RNAs (transfer, ribosomal, small nuclear, and small nucleolar). The record is from Ensembl. Lineage: Eukaryota; Metazoa; Chordata; Mammalia; Rodentia; Sciuridae.